Acinonyx jubatus (cheetah) is the source of this 729-nucleotide long non-coding RNA. RefSeq lists it as uncharacterized. The transcript is spliced from 3 exons. The record is from RefSeq and is a predicted model, not a curated record. Lineage: Eukaryota; Metazoa; Chordata; Mammalia; Carnivora; Felidae.
CCUUGUUUUAUCAGCUACUUGAAGUAGAAUGACACAUUGUAAUGGUGGCCAAUUGAUUCUUUACAAAUUUGAUAUUGAUGACUGUAUGUCUUAAACUCAUAAGUUAUCCAAGACAGAUCAUCAAACAUGACAAAAUCAGCCUAUGGAAAUGAGAUUUCAUAUGUGGAUGUGGGAUCAGGAGUCUGAAACUUCCAAACUGAAGAAGUGGCUGCAUUCCUACCAGCAAUGAAUGAGAGAGAGACCAAGCCACCAUCAUCUCUCUCCCGGUCUGCUGCAGUAGCCCCCUACCGGUCUCCUGGUCUCCUUGUCCUGAUGCCCUUCUGCAGCCAGAACGCUUCUUUUAAACCUCAUUUUGACAUCCUUGAAGGCUGUAGUUCUCAAAAGGUGGUUCCUAGACCAGCAGAAUCAGCAGCACCUGGGAAUUUCAAGGCUCUACUCCAGACCUACUAACUUAGAAACUUUGGAGGUGGAGACCAGAACUCUGUUUUAACAAGUCCUCCUGAUGACUGUCAUGAACACUGAAGUUUGAGAACUGCUCUCACCAUUUAUGGCUUGCCAAUUAAUGGAAUACCUCUGCCAAGAAAACAUGAUUCAGUUACAUUCCAUAACAUGGAUUUAGCAGCACUGUUACUUCCAUUCGCCCAAUAUUUCCCUGUCGGAGAUAAAGAAUGUUGGUGAACUAUCGGGAAGGUACCUUAAUUAAUAAAUAUUUUAUACUGAUGUUACAAA